GAAGCUGCCAGUGGGUAGACACCUUCGCUCGGACCAAGAAUAUAGAUCGUUUUUCUCUCACAACCGAGAAGGAUUUUGCGUAUAACGACCUUAACGAACUGCUGCAGGAUCCUUUGUUCGGAUAAGAGACAAGAGAGUAACAUCUGGAUAAGAGGAGUAUUCUGUGUAGUGAUGGCAGAUGCGCUCGGAUUUCUCGCCUCCGCCAGCGACUAUGGGGGCUAUGGAGCGGCAGAUGGCUACGGGUACGAGAGCUCCAUCGACUGCAACUCGGCGCUCGGUCUCAUUGGUCUCCUUGGUCUGAUUGAGCUGCUGAGGGACAUCAUAGACGACAUCACAUCCACGCGCCGGAG
Penaeus vannamei (Pacific white shrimp) is the source of this 350-nucleotide non-coding RNA. Lineage: Eukaryota; Metazoa; Arthropoda; Malacostraca; Decapoda; Penaeidae. The record is from RefSeq and is a predicted model, not a curated record.